CUCUCGGUAGCCAAGUUGGUUUAAGGCGCAAGACUGUAAUUUCAAAAGUAAUCUUGAGAUCGGGCGUUCGAAUCGCCCCCGGGAGA
Molecule: transfer RNA, 86 nt
Organism: Lachancea fermentati
Lineage: Eukaryota; Fungi; Ascomycota; Saccharomycetes; Saccharomycetales; Saccharomycetaceae
Rfam family: tRNA
About the family: Transfer RNA (tRNA) molecules are approximately 80 nucleotides in length.
Source: Rfam